GCUCCGUUGGUGAACCAGCGGAGGGAUCAUUACCGAGUUUACAACCCCCAAACCCCUGUGAACUUAUACCUUUACUGUUGCUUCGGCGGGUCAUUGCCCCGGGGAAACAGGCGGCCGUCAGGUCCCUGCCCACCCGGAAACAGGCGCCCGCCGGGGGACUCAAACUCUUCUGUAUUUUUUUGUUUACUGUAUACUGUCUGAGUAAAAAUUCAUAAUGAAUCAAAACUUUCAACAACGGAUCUCUUGGUUCUG
Molecule: unclassified non-coding RNA, 252 nt
Filed under: plant metagenome
Description: partial contains small subunit ribosomal RNA, internal transcribed spacer 1, and 5.8S ribosomal RNA
Source: RNAcentral